AUUGAACGCUGGCGGCAGGCCUAACACAUGCAAGUCGAGCGAGAAAGGUCUUCGGACUGAGUACAGCGGCGGACGGGUGAGUAAUGCGCAGGAAUCUACCUGGUAGUGGGGGAUAACUCGGGGAAACUCGAACUAAUACCGCGUACGCCCUACGGGGGAAAGCGGGGGACCUUCGGGCCUCGCGCUAUCAGAUGAGCCUGCGUAGGAUUAGCUUGUUGGUGAGGUAAAGGCUCACCAAGGCGACGAUCCUUAGCUGGUCUGAGAGGAUGAUCAGCCACACUGGAACUGAGACACGGUCCAGACUCCUACGGGAGGCAGCAGUGGGGAAUAUUGCGCAAUGGGCGAAAGCCUGACGCAGCCAUGCCGCGUGUGUGAAGAAGGCCCUUGGGUUGUAAAGCACUUUCAAUUGGGAAGAAAGGUUGCGUGUUAAUAGCACGUAGCUGUGACGCUACCUUUAGAAGAAGCACCGGCUAACUCCGUGCCAGCAGCCGCGG
This 494-nucleotide ribosomal RNA is filed under the name uncultured bacterium. RNAcentral's name for it is "bacterial SSU rRNA". It matches the Rfam family "Bacterial small subunit ribosomal RNA", at positions 30 to 520 of the family's 1533-position model. The record is from RNAcentral.